AAUGAACGCUGGCGGCAUGCCUUACACAUGCAAGUCGAACGGCAGCAUGACCUAGCUUGCUAGGUUGAUGGCGAGUGGCGAACGGGUGAGUAAUGCAUCGGAACGUGCCUUUUAGUGGGGGAUAACGUAGCGAAAGUUACGCUAAUACCGCAUAUUCUCUGAGGAGGAAAGCAGGGGACCUUCGGGCCUUGCGCUAGAAGAGCGGCCGAUGUCGGAUUAGCUAGUUGGUGAGGUAAAGGCUCACCAAGGCAACGAUCCGUAGCGGGUCUGAGAGGAUGAUCCGCCACACUGGGACUGAGACACGGCCCAG
This 310-nucleotide ribosomal RNA is filed under the name uncultured bacterium. Its description in RNAcentral is "bacterial SSU rRNA". It matches the Rfam family "Bacterial small subunit ribosomal RNA", at positions 29 to 334 of the family's 1533-position model. The record is from RNAcentral.